CCCUUAGAUGUCCUGGGCCGCACGCGCGCUACACUGAGUGUCUGAGAUACGAGUCUGCCUGGUCCGGCAAGGUCUAGGUAAUCGCUAAAAGACACAUCAUGCUUGGGAUAGAUUAUUGCAAAUAUUAAUCUUGAACGAGGAAUUCCUAGUAAGCGCAAGUCAACAGCUUGCGUUGAUUACGUCCCUGCCCUUUGUGCACACCGCCCGUCGCUACUACUGAUUGGAUGUUUAAGCGAGGUUCUCGAACUGCUAGCGACUUAGCUUCGGUGAGGUCGCAGUGUGGGAAGUGAGCCUAGCUUUGGUGUCUAGAGGAAGUAAAAGUCGUAACA
RNAcentral lists this ribosomal RNA (329 nucleotides) under uncultured eukaryote. Its description in RNAcentral is "partial 18S ribosomal RNA". It matches the Rfam family "Eukaryotic small subunit ribosomal RNA", at positions 1470 to 1796 of the family's 1831-position model. The record is from RNAcentral.